CGCGCGGUUAUGUACAAUAGGUAUUCUUCAAAUCUACAAUGAGUGAAAUAUUUGAUACUGAGAGGUUUUAUUGCUAAAAUAGAAACGUUUGAAUGCAUAUGGCGUAGUGAUUCGCCUAUGUAUUUAAAGAGGAAUGGAAAAGAAAAUUCUUGGAAUGCUGUAGCGUCAUCAAUGUAUGAUGAUUGACAAGUGUAUAAUGAA
Cinara cedri is the source of this 201-nucleotide non-coding RNA. The record is from the annotation of a GenBank genome assembly. NCBI's taxonomy places the organism in Eukaryota, Metazoa, Arthropoda, Insecta, Hemiptera, Aphididae.